GGUGUCAUAGCUCAGUUGGUAGAGCAAAGGACUGAAAAUCCUUGUGUCCCCGGUUCGAUUCCUGGUGGCACCACC
RNAcentral lists this transfer RNA (75 nucleotides) under Parabacteroides merdae. RNAcentral's name for it is "tRNA-Phe". It matches the Rfam family "tRNA". From Rfam's summary of the family: Transfer RNA (tRNA) molecules are approximately 80 nucleotides in length. Their secondary structure includes four short double-helical elements and three loops (D, anti-codon, and T loops). Further hydrogen bonds mediate the characteristic L-shaped molecular structure. tRNAs have two regions of fundamental functional importance: the anti-codon, which is responsible for specific mRNA codon recognition, and the 3' end, to which the tRNAs corresponding amino acid is attached (by aminoacyl-tRNA synthetases). tRNAs cope with the degeneracy of the genetic code in two manners: having more than one tRNA (with a specific anti-codon) for a particular amino acid; and 'wobble' base-pairing, i.e. permitting non-standard base-pairing at the 3rd anti-codon position. Lineage: Bacteria; Pseudomonadati; Bacteroidota; Bacteroidia; Bacteroidales; Tannerellaceae. The record is from RNAcentral.